RNAcentral lists this small nucleolar RNA (108 nucleotides) under Clavispora lusitaniae ATCC 42720. Its description in RNAcentral is "Small nucleolar RNA snR73". It matches the Rfam family "Small nucleolar RNA snR73". The record is from Rfam by way of RNAcentral. Lineage: Eukaryota; Fungi; Ascomycota; Pichiomycetes; Serinales; Metschnikowiaceae.
GUAUAUGAUGAUUUACCACAUUUAUCACGACGGUCUACUGUGCUAGGAGAAUUGUAAUCUCCUAGCGUUGAUGAUAUACUCGGCCUUGACCGGCCGUGGUUACUGAAA